RNAcentral lists this long non-coding RNA (739 nucleotides) under Rattus norvegicus (Norway rat). RNAcentral's name for it is "long non-coding RNA NONRATT007854". The record is from RNAcentral. Lineage: Eukaryota; Metazoa; Chordata; Mammalia; Rodentia; Muridae.
CUGGUGAGAGGGAUCAGUGAUCAGUCUAUUGGCCACACAAGCUUGAGCACUGGAUUCAGAGUCCGGAACUCAUGUCAGGCAAUAUGGCGGCUGUCUGUAAUCCCAAUAUGAGAGAAGCAAAGACACAAUCCCCAGGGCAGGCUGGCUGCCUAGACGAGCUGGAAUAGACCAGCUCUGGGAUCAGGUAGAGACCUUGACUUAAUAAAUGAAGUGGGCCCCUGAAGGCAGGCACAGACACAUAGGAAAUAGAUGUGUCUGAAUGACCAACUACCAAGGCUGUCUCCUCUGGCCUCCACAUGCGUGCACACACAUGCACUCACAUACAAAAGGACACUGGUUAUCUUGGCACAUGCUUGUACUCACAGCUGCCAGGACAUGAGAGCUGGAGAAUCAUGUUACCUUCAACUUUAUAGCAAUUUCAAGGCUAACCUGGGCUACAUGAGACCCUGGAAGUCUCUAACCAAAAGAAAUAGGAUCUAUGAGAUCCACGGUGACAGAGGUUCCAAGAUUGGGCUCAGCAUUCCCUGCAGUUACCAUUCCUGUAACUCGAUGGAAAUGACUAACAGUAACAAGCAAGACUAGUAAGGUGGCUGCGCAGGUGAAGGUGUGUGCAAACGUGACGGACUGAGUGGCAGGGGAGCUCACUCCUGCAGACUGUUCUCUGACCCCCACACACACCCCUCAGCAUGCUCACAAGUAUGCACAGAGACACACAGAAAAUAAAAACAAAUUAAGCAAG